This 72-nucleotide transfer RNA is filed under the name Camelus bactrianus (Bactrian camel). It matches the Rfam family "tRNA". Rfam says of the family: Transfer RNA (tRNA) molecules are approximately 80 nucleotides in length. Their secondary structure includes four short double-helical elements and three loops (D, anti-codon, and T loops). RNAcentral also lists the same sequence under 2 other names. Lineage: Eukaryota; Metazoa; Chordata; Mammalia; Artiodactyla; Camelidae. The record is from Rfam by way of RNAcentral.
AGGGGUAUAGCUCAGUCGUAGAGCAUAUGCUUAGCAUGCACAAGGUCCUGGGUUCAGUCCCCAGUACCUCCA